Molecule: long non-coding RNA, 13903 nt
Filed under: Heterocephalus glaber (naked mole-rat)
Lineage: Eukaryota; Metazoa; Chordata; Mammalia; Rodentia; Bathyergidae
Description: lncRNA (ENSHGLG00000049465.1)
Source: RNAcentral
GCCAGAGUGAGGCAGGCUUUGAGGAGCUUGCCAAGGAGGGCGAAGGCCUUGCUUUGAAAACACUUCUCCAGUUUGCUGACUCGUGGGACUUGGCAAGCCCAGGGAAUAGUGCUGAAGGGAAGAAAGCCCCUGGAGGGGCCUCCCGGGCGGCUGCAGGCAACCCUGCUCUUUUCAUUGGCCCCAUGUGACGCCCACAAGGGAGCAGGCCUCGAAGGCCUUGUAAAUGAGUGUUUGCAGGGCCCCUCCCUGACUACAGCCCAUAUGUCAGGACACACACCUCCGGACUGCUAAAUGGCUGAGAAAAGGACAACCGUUUUCCGUGUUGGUACGACAUGCAGCAUUGGCCAGUCAAGGAUUGAGAUCAGUCAGAGUGACAGUUUCUGGGGAAACCCUCAAUACCUUUAAGGGGAGAUCAAGGACUCUAUUGAGUUGCAGAGAAGUUACUGAAGCCAUUCAUCCAUUUGGCCAACAGCCAUCAACGCAGGCCAAGGGUGUACAUGGUAAACAACCGAGAGAUAGGAAAAAGGGAUACUGGUAGAGAUGCAAGUGGUUUCUCUCUGACUGGGCCCCUAACAAGUGGCAACCCCAAGAUCCUGCCGUCCAUCCAGCAGUUUGGGGAGGCAGGCAGCAAACAAACUCAUAAAGAAAGAGAAUGUGAGAUGAUGCCUCAUAAACAGAGAACUGGUUCCCGGAUAGCCAUGAUGGCAAAAGCAAGCCAGGCAGCUGGCUUUCCUGAGGAGGCACAUGGUGGCUCUGUCGGGGCCAUCAAAGUUGUCUCAGGGCUUCCGUCCACUGGAGACUGCUGCAAGCUGACAAUUUCAAAUCCAUUUGCAUCCACUUAGCUUUCCAGAGACCAAGGCAUUUUUCAGCUACAGCAAACAACACAUGAAUGUGAAGCUCGGAGCAGGCAGCACAGGGCAAAAAAGGAUUGGGAAGUCUCUGGGGCUGCUGCUAACUUGUCUUGAAAAAUCAAAAUGAACUUUUUUCUUCAAAGAUUCUGCUUCAAUUCAUCAUCAUUAUAAAAACACUCAAGUCCUUGAGGUCUGAGGCUGCAGUGAAUGCAUACAAAAUGGGUUUUCUGCAGGGGAAAAAACAUAUAAUAAUGUCCUAAAGCUCUUCUUUUGAGCUAUGGGCAGCAGGGAAGUCUGGUUUGAAAUCCAACCUUCACCUCCACUGAGCAAAUUUUGUUAAUUAGGAUGUGUUUGCCCUCCUUAAGGCACCUUCUUUCUCAGGAGAUUUGUAUCUGGGGAGGGCCUUUCCGAAAGGUAGAACAUCUUUAAUUAUUCAAACUGCUGGACCCUGGAGCAUGAUAUCCCCUUUGCCAGCUGUCAUUGGCACCCCAAAAGUAACACAGACUUCAUUAGUGUAUCAUGGAAACUCUAUUAUAGAUGGGGGCUGGGGGUUGUUAACCUGGUUUAUUAGUGUAACACUUCAGGUCCAUAUGGUAAAAGGGCUUCUGUGGGCUGGGCUGAGACUCACCAGGCAUGAUAGUGUUUCUUAGGAAAGUAAGUUCUGAUUUCCAAGUGGCUGCCUUUGAAUCUGGAAUGCAAGCCAUUUCUAAGAAGGAAAAUGCCCUGAAAUAUUAGAUGCAUGUUUUUUCCCAUUAUUUCAGAGGUGAGGAAUGCAGUUAUCUUGAACUUCCUUUAGAUAGAUGGUUUCCUUUUCUCCUUCUCCCCCUUCUUCCUCUUUCCCCACCUCCAUGCCAUUUUAUGAGCUGAUAAACCAUUAGUAGUUAACAUGGACUUCUCAGAAGGCAGUCAAGGAUAAACUUUGCCAGAAAGGGCUGAUUCAGGUGGGGUUACAUGACAGGCUCUGUAGUCCCGAGGGACACUUUUCCAGACUUGAGCAUAAUAUGAAUUCAGGGAGGCAAGAAAGAAGAGUCACAAGAUGAGCCCUCAGGACAUCCUUGCAUAAACCCCCAAAGUCAGGGGCUUAAGAAAGAGAUGUGAGGAAGAAGAUAAGAUCCAGAAGCAAAGAAAUUUGUUAGAGACAGACUGGCAAAGACAGAAGACCAUAGCAAGGACAAUUCUGAGUCCAGCAGUGGACCAGGUACAAUGACAGCCAGCUCUCCCUACCCAUGGGUUCCAUAUCAGUGGCUCCCACCAUCCAUGGACAGAGAAUACUCAGCAAAAAUAUUACAUCUCUACUGAAUGUGUACAGACUUCUAUUCUUUAUCAUUAUUUGCUAAAUAAUAUAAUAGAAAAACUCUCUACAUAGCACUUACAUUGUAUUAGGGUAGAAGUAAUCUAGAGAUAAUUUAAAGCAUACAAGAGAAUGUACAUAGACUAUAUGAAAAUACUAUUCCAUUUUAUAUUGGGACUUCAGCAUUUGCAGAUUUUGGUAUCUUCAGGGAUCGUAGAGCCUGUUCCCCAUAGAUACCAAGGGGUGACUAUACUUGAUGAGUUUUGGAUAGGCCCAAGUGAAAAGCAAACAUAGAUUAUGAACAACUCCUUUCACAGUGAAAAUCAAAAGGCUACUCUCCUUCCUCCAGAGGACAAUGAAUUCCCCCCCCUUAGAGCCAAGUGGUGCAAGCUUGGUAGCCCCUUCCUAGGUCUACUGGAGAGAAGGUAGCAGUCAGGCCAAGAUCCAGUAUGCCCUGGAACUCCCUGCUAGAGGUGCUCAUGACACCUUCCCUCCAUGAAAUGUGGUCAAUGUCAGAAUAGACAAGUAGGGAGAGAAACACCUCACUUCCAUCCUGGUAUGCAGAGGCCAUACUGAAAACCACUAGCAAUCUCAGCAACACAGCACUGGCCCAACCGAUGGAUAUGAUCACAGGCAUAGCCAGCCUCACACAAGGCCCACAGGCUAAAGACCACCUCUGCAUAGCUGUGUCAGUCAGUAAAGCAUCUUUCAAGAUUAAACAAGAAAAUACAUUAGUGAAGGAUGUAUGAUGCCUUCGUAUAAGACUUUACAUUCAAUCAUUAUUAUAAUCUUGUGUAGGACACACUUUCUAAGCAUGAGACCUGUGCAGUGAUAUGGGACACCACAAACCUAAAGGGACCCCACUUGUGGCUAAUGCUCUGCUAUCACUUUCCCGAUAUUCUUUAUUUCAGAACAAAGAGCCUGCAUUUUCUUUUCUUUUCUUUUUUGGGGCAGAGGGAGUACUGGAGAUCGAACUCAGGACCUUGCACUUGGGAGUCAGGUGCAGUGCCACUGAGCUAAAUCCCUAGCCCUGCAUUUUCAUUUUGUAUUGGAGUCUACAAAAUAUGUUGUUGGUCCUUGUCCAAUGGGGGAAAAAACACAGGUGUUACCAACUGCCCCAUUUACAGAUCCAGAAAAAGAGGAUUAAGCAGGUUAAACGGCUUCCCUAGGCUCACCUCACUAGUAAGCAGCUAACUCCAGCUCCAGACCUCACACUUCCUGUGUUAGAUAGCUUUGUGCCACUGGGACAAAAUGCCCGAACAAAAAACAACUUAACAGAGGAAAAAUCUAUGUUGACUCAUGGUUUCAGAGGUCUCAGUUCAUGGUCACUUGGCUGCCCCCAACAGGAGCUGUCCAAACUGGGCCAGACUGGACCAAGCUGGGCCAGUCAGAUUUUCUUUCCCGGGAAUCUGGAAUUGGCAUCCAGCCAACAAGGGGCAAAAGAAACAGCUGGAGCAGUUGUUGAAACAGAGGAAGGGUAGAUUCGGGCAUAGGACAGUCAUGUAAUAACAUUUGCAUCUCCUAUCCUUUCUCCCCACACUCCAAAUUUAUGACUCCCAGAAACAUAGCUAGAGGAAAAGGUCAGGGUCUACCAUAUUGCCAGGAGAUAAUAAUCCAGACAUUUUAGGGGAAACUUCCUUAUGUGAUCUCACUUGUGGCUGAAAACCUACCAGACCUGCUGGUCAUGGGAGUUACAUGAGGAUGGACAGCUGUGAUUGCUAACAUUUCUUAUUCAUGCUGCUACUAUUGUUUAAUCUGUAUAAAUAUAUGUAGCACUUCCUAUAUUCCAGAUACUAAUCUAAGUGCUUUACAUAUAUCAAUUCAUUUAAUUUUCCUAAAAGCCUAUAAAAUAGGUAUUACUAUCAUCAUUCCUGGUCUAUAAGUAAAGAAGCUAAGGCACAAAGAAGUUAUGUACCCCACCCAAAAUCACACAGCUCAUAUGUGGUAGAGCCAGGCUUUGAACUCAACAGCCUGACUGCAAGCAAAGUCUGAAUUCUUAACAUUCACCAACUACCUCUCGAAAUAUUAUCCUGGCUGGUCUGAAAUAAAUAACAUGCAAUUUCCACUUCUCAGUUUAAUUUUACCUAAUCACAAUGCAAUGUUUUAAAAAUGUUGCUUAUUUAGAAUCAAAAAAGCCUCUGAGCAGUCAAAAUAAAAUGACAAUGCAAAAGCAUGAGCACUCAGUCCCUAAGAUUUUCACUCAACCCUCAUUUACUCACAUUCUCUCUCCCUCUCCUCUUCUUCUUUUUACAUGUAAAAAAGAAUCUAGGGUAGAGUUUCACCUAGGAUAUGGACCAUUAUCUGUAUCCAAAUGAUCCAAAAUGUAUCACUUCCUCUCAGGUACAGCUUUCAAUCUGUCCACUUGGGGUUCUGCAUAUCCGCAAUUUUGAUCCCAAGGAAGGAUCACACUACAGGGUCUUACCCUUUCCUACCAGCUGGUGUGUGCUCAGAACAUGCACAACUGGAGCCAAUAUACACAGGACUGUAGAAAUGGGCCCAAAGAACCACCCCAUGGGACUCUCAAAGUCAAAUAUAGAAAGUCAUUGGGGUCCUCUCUUCAGUUUGCCUUCUGCUAAGGGAAAGGAGUCAAACGCAUUCGGAACUCUCCGUCCCUUGUCUUGUAACCAUCCUCUUUCUCACUGAGCCCCUUUAGACUUUAGAUUCUCUAUUGAAUGCUUCACUCUUUCUUAAUUUUUGCUUUUUAAUCUAGCUAACUCUGGUGUAAUAUCAUCUUUGUUUUUAAAUACCUUGUUCUUAAAAGGCCUACAAUACGGUAUGUAUACAUAUAAACUUCCCUUAGUGAAUGUAUCCAUUAUCUAUAGCAAACAUGUACUAAUAAAAUAGUAAAAUAAGUAUAUAAAUACUUCCUUCUUAGUAAAGUGUAAAUUCUACCAUAUGUAAUAUAGUUCAUUCAGUAAAUAUUUUGAUCUAUGUAUUCUGUAUUUUAUUAUUAUGUACAGUAAAUAUAUUUAAUAAAAUUCUUUAAUUCAUAAAAUAGAUUCCUUACCCAAACUGCUAAUAGAGUUGUGAUUUGGGUUCUCCAGAAAAUGGUCAUGGUGUUGGUUCUCCCCUGUCAGCAUCUCACUCUUAGCAGAUGCUUUAAAAUAUUCUUAUUUGAAUUGACUUGCUAGGCUAGGUAGCUUUCAAGAACUGGGUGUGUGUAGUUUCAGUCCAUCUGUCUACUCAGCAAGGUCUUGGCAGCACUAACUCUUCCUUUACACCUAACACAUAUUUAUUAUUCUUUACACUUCUUUCCUUAAAUUCUGAAAUCUUUUUUUUUUUUUUUGGUACUGGGGAUUGAACCCGGGUCCUUGAGCUUGCUAGGCAGGUGGUGAAACCACUGAGCUAAAUCCCCAGCCCCUUCUGAAAUCUUAAUUACUGGCAAUACCACCCUGAAUGACUCCUGCCAUCAGCACUGGAACUGACCAUUCCUUCAACACUUACAGAGGAUUUUGCUGUGCACCAAGACUAGGAACUAAAGCAAUGACAGCUAUUUCGUUUGUCCCCAACAGCCAUGUGACAUUCUCCCUUCUUCCCCAAACAUGGAGUCCUGUCAGCUGGUCUUGUUGACCACCAUACAGAACAGCCUGUACCUCAUAAGAUGCCUGUCUCAGUGUGGGGCAGAGAUUUCUCGUUAAGGAUGUUCCAGCCGUGAACUCUACUGAAAGGCUGGUUUCAAGCUCCUGGAUGCAAAUGACCCUCCUGCUUCAGCCUUUCAAGUACUAUAAUUACACUCAACCAUCGUGCCCAGAUGUUUCCGGUGCCAGGCCCUAGUGACUCUUCACAUCAGUUCAGUCGUGACACUGGUAGAAUCAGCAUAAGGAUAUUGGAAAUAUUCCUGGAAACCACUCCUACACUCUAGAAUGGCUAGAAAUAUUUAUACACAGAAGUGACUGUGAAUGCCUCUAACCCAAACUGUUUGCCUAACUCCACUUUCCUUAGCCCAAUGCCCAAGAUGCCUGAAAUCAUCAAUUCAAGGAAAGAGUUUAGUGGAGAGAAAAAUCAGACUAGAAAGAGACAGUGUCUUAAUGAACUAUCAUUAUCUAUUUGUACAAAUUUUCCCAAAACUCUAUGACCACAUGAACACUCUAGUGGAGACUUUACAGUGUUAUGAAAGUGAAGAGGCUCAAGUUGAGGCUUUAUCUGUAUGUAACUUAACUCUGGCACCAGUCAAUCAAAAAAGACAGCAGGCAUGAAAAGCCAGCUCCUUUUUCUGAUGUAUACAAGCUGCCUGAGCAUUCCUGCAUGCUGACUACUGAUGCUUGUAAGUAUCUGCAGGUAAUACACUUCCACAAAGACGUAUUCUAACUUGUUACAAAUUGUGUUUUGCCAUAUUUUUCUUAAAGACUUCAUUCUUGUCUACCUUUAAACUCUCCUUUGCUAUAUUUUUUGUUUGUUUGUUUGGGUUUUGAGACAGGGUCUCCCUAUGUAGUCCAGGCUGGACUCAAACUCUCCAAAAUUCUCCUACCCCAGCCUCCCAAGUGCUGAGAUUAUAGGCGUGUGCCACCACCCUGGCUUCUUUGCUGUAUUAUCAGGCUCUUUCAUUUUUCAUGUGUUUUGCAGCCAUGAUCUGCAUAUAGAUUUUAAAAUGUUUGUUGUAUUAAGGGGCUUAAUAAAGAAAGAAUUACACAACAGACAGGUUUUGGAAGUCCUCCUUUGUGAGUGUCUUUAGUUGCUCUUUAGUUUGCAUUGAUUCAAAAUGUUUACCUUUCGUGGUCAUUUUGACUUUGGGGAAGAGCCAGAGGUUGCAUAGUGCCAAAUCUGCUGAAUAAAGUGGAUAAGGACAUACCAUAAUGUUUUCACAAGGCUCCUUUGCCACUGGAAUGCAUUUGGCAGCAGUAUUCACCAUAUUUUAUUUUCUAACACCUUGUAAAGGCACUCACAAGUGAGGUCCUCUCUUCAGAAAGUAGCAACAAUGGGACAGUGUGUUCAAAUUGAGAGGGAGUAUUCUGAGGGAAAUUAAUGGCAAUGUGUCUUUUACUGUAGUAAAUUUUAAAAAUUUAAAUGUUCACUGUAUAUUUUAAUUGUACUCUGUAAGAAUAGCUUGAAUUAAAAUGCAAAAUGUGGACUUAGGCAAAGGAAAGUAUUAAACAAUAAACUAAUGACUGAAAUGACCAAGUUAAAGAGAGUCCUAAGAAGCAUUUCCCAGGUCAAGAGCUAGAUUUGUGUCUGUUCACUGGUUUCUCCUCUAGUAGAAUCUAAGAGUAUUGAAGGCAAGGGCUAUAUAUUCAUCUCAUGUGUACAGCCUGAUACAUGUGCAGUCAGCUUUACUGAAUAAGAAAAGUAAUGAGUUGUGAUGAAAGACUAACAGAAACUGUGCUGUGUUAAUGAAUGAACACAUGAAACAACAAGUAUGAGGAAUGGUCAUGCUUUUUUGUUGCUGGUUAGGAGUCACUGGAAAUCUUGGCAAGUGUGACUCUGGCAAAGGUGAAGCAGAGGAAGUUAGAUCUGAGAAAUUCCGGAAGAGUGUUGUUUAUUAAGGAAACUCACUGUGGAUGCUGUUGCAGGAUGUAGGAGUAAGAUGGAAGGGAAGUGCAGUUGUUAACAGGGCCAAACAUCUGGGCUUUUUUGUAUUCAAAAAGAGGAGGUAGGAUCUAAAGAAGAGAAGAAGGGAGUUGGGGGACAGGAGGCAGAGUAGAGUAUCAUCAAGAUGAGUGUGAUAAAAGGUCUUCACACAAGCAGUGACUCAAAGGCUAGUGUGGUGCGGGGUCCUGGAUCUUGGCCCCCUUUUAGGAAAUGUGUACACCAUGGGCCAUGACACCAGCAGGAGUAAAUGAGUGGCCUGGUGAAAAGGAGUGAUAUCCUAAGAGAGGUCAUGGGGGCACAGGUGACGGGAGAGGAAGCCACAUGUGGCACUCACUAAUGGCAACGAUGGAACCGGAAUGCUUGGAAAGUCCCUCAUGGGAGACAAGGAGCAUUCUACCUCGGCCAAAUGAAUAAACACAAUAUAAAGUUUUCUUCAGUGGCCCCCAGGAUUUGCCAUCCUCCUAUUUCCAUGGAGGACUCCUAAAGUCAACAGAAUUAUCCUGUGGGUCAGAGCCAUGCUGAAAAGCAGUGUGGGAAGAGCACAGCCUACUCUACUAUAUUUUGACCUUGGAGUUUAUUUCCACUCUGUCUUUUUCUUUGAUCCCAAAGUUCACAAUAGCCUUUCCUUAGAUGUGUGCAUGUUUUACCUAAGUAAAUUACUCUGUGGUAGUAACCUUUUAAUUUUCUUAAUUAAAUGUGCUCUGUAUCCCAGUUAGCCAGAUCUAUGUUGAGUUUUUUGUUUGUUUAUUUGUUUGUUUUUGGCACCAGGGAUCGAACUCAGGAUCUUGUGCUUGUGAGGCAGGUGACGGCACCACUGGGCUAAAUCUUCGGCCUAUGUUAACUUUUAAUGUAAUCACCAAGAUGAUUUCCCACCCAACACAGCAUUAUACACAUAUUGAGGUUUACACUAUCCACUUAUUCUGGUUCACUCUUCUUAGGUUAGCUUUUCCCACUUUUUUUCUCUAUACCUUUUGAUUCUUUGACCUAAACACAAAAUGAACACAAAUCUAGAAAGAGAGAAACAGAACAAGAGAGUGAAGCUCAUUCUGGAAGCAAAAAAGAGAGGCCUUUCUAUUUCAUUGGCUGGCAAUAAAGCCUGAAACUCCAUCACCAUGUUGCCUGGCAACUUAGGAAAUAUUUUUGUGAUUAAACAAAAAAUAUCUGGAGUAAAUUCACAAUGAAACAGCUAAAACGCAUUAUAUCAUCCUGCAUUUCACCAUUAAAACAUGAGUAGCAGACACUUUGGGACAGAUAACCCUCAAGAAAACAAAAACAAACAUGCUGGCAAUGCCAAGAGGCAGGAGGGACCAGGAAAUGGCCUGGACUGGGACCAGAAGUCCGAGGCAAAUCUCAAACCCUUUGAGGCACUUGGUGUUUUUCAUCCGCAAAAAGAACAAGUGGGAUUAAUGAGCUCUGACAUUUCAUAAUUCAAAAGAAACAGUAAAAACUAGGAGCAUAGAACCAGUCAUUUUUUUGAACUGCAGCAUUUAUUAUGCUUGGGUAGGCUAUGAACACAGGCCUAAAGGGUGAAAAUCAUUCAUCUUGCCUUAAAUGAAAUCCACAGUGGGGUUGUUAGGUUCCCAUAAGCUAUCAAUGCCUGCUUAUUACAAGUAACCCCUUCUUUAGAAAAGCAGAAGCUCAGCAUUAUGAAAGCUGCUCAUCUCAUUAAGAGAAACAAACAAACAAAACCCUCCUGGAAAUUUCUUCAACACUAUUACAACAAGCAAUCCCAGAGUCAAGAAGUCCAGGCAAACUUAAAGUAACUUGUUUGUGGAAAUCACAAAUGAAUAGGCUAUAAAAAUAUCCAAAAAGAGAAGGUGUGGUUGCAAACUAAAAACUGCAGCAACAAAGCUUUGAAGAAUAUAGUGUGGCUGUUAAAAAUCAAGGAUGCUGGGCUCCAAUCCUGGCUUUACCAUUUACUGGGCUAUCUUUUUUAACUCUCUAUAUCUCAGUUUAUUCAUCCAUAUGGGGGUCAUAAGAGUAGCACACAGCCUCACAGACUUAUCAUACCAGUGAAAUGAGUUAGAAAUGGGCUUACAAUAGUAGCUGACAUAGAGUUAGCUAUUGUUGAAUAAGCCAGUAACUGCUAAUACCAGUACUAGAGUUUGGAUUCAAAGUCCAAGACCACUGAUUAUUAACAGUUGACCUUUGGCCAACCUUCCUGGCCUUUCAAUUCCUCAUCUCUAAAAUGGGAAUAACCAUUACUGUGAGAAUUAAACAAAGUAAUGUUUGUGACAUGCACAGAGCAGCUAUUAUGAAUCAUUACUAUCCAAUAAUCAUCAAGAAAUUUCUCUGCAAUUUAUUUAGCUUCUGUUGUUUUAUUAAUGCCUUAAAAAUAACAAUGAAUGGUGAAGACAGUCAAUUUUAUAUGCAUUUUACCACAAUAAAAACAAAUUAGAAAAAAAUAACAAUGGAUGCGAAAGACAUUUCAAGAAGGAAAGAAUAGUCUUUUCAACAAAUGGUGCUGGGAAAACUGAUAUCCACAUUCAAAAGAAUGAAGUUGGGCCCCUUGCUCACACCAUAUGCAAAGUUUACCUCAAAAUGAGUCAAAGAACUAAAUAUAAGAGCUAACCUUUUAAGCUCAUAGAAAAAAGAUAAGCAUGUCUUUAUGGACUUGAUUAGGCAAUGGUUUCUUAGCUUAGACAUCAAAACCACAAACGAUAUGCACAAAAAAACAGAUAAAUUGGACAUCAUCAAAAUGAACAACUUUUAUACUUCAAAGAGCACCAAUUAAGAAAGUGAAAAAACCCACAGAAUGGGAAAAAUUACUUGUAAAUCAUACAUCUGAUAAGGGACUUGUAUGCAAAAUACUUGAACUUUUAAAACUCAAUAACAAAAAGACAAAUACUUAAUAAAUGGAUAAAGAAUCAGAAUAUACAUUUUUCUGAAAAUAUACAAGUGGUCAAUAAGCACAGAAAAAGAUUCUUUUUUUUUUUUUGGUACUGGGGAUCGAACUCGGGUCCUUGCGCUUGCACAGCAGGCGGCGAAACCACUGAGCUAAAUCCCCAGUCCAGAAAAGGAUUCUUAACAUCAUUACCCAUCAGAGAAAUGGAAAUCAAAACCAAAUAUCACUUUAUAUCCACUAGAAGGGAUAUAAUAAAAAAGACAGAAAUAACCAAGUGUUGGUAGGGAUGUGAACAAAGUUGAGCCAUAAUAUGUACUGCUAGUGAGAGUGUAAAAGAGUGCAAAUAUUUUUUUAGAAAACAGUGUGACUAUUCCUCAAAAGAUUAACCAUAUGGUAAAUGAUAUGACAUAGUAUAUGAUUUGAUAAUUCAAACCUUAGGUAUACACUCAAGAGAAAAACGUACAUACAAAAGUUUGUACACAAAUGUUCAUACCAGCAUUAUUCAUAAUAAUCAAAGAGUGAAAACAACUAAAAUGUCCAUUGACUGAUAAACAGAUAAAUGUGCUAUAUCCAUAACAUGGAAUUGUGUCCAACAAUAAAAAGAAAUUGAUAAACACUACAUGAAUGAAACUUGAAAACCUUGAAAGAAACCAAUCACAAAAGGCCACAUAUUAUAUGAUCCCAUCUGUAUGAAAAGGUAGAAUAGGCAAAUUUAUUAGUGAAAGCAUGUAGACCAGUGGUUUCCUAGAGGUGGGGAUAUGGGAGAGAACAGUUAGUGUGGUAGGGCCCCUCCUGACAUGUCAUGUGGGGUGGGGGGACUUUUUACAAUGUAACAUAUCAGCUUCUGUGUAGGCAUGUGUAGUUCUGAGGCAACUCUGUAACAUAAAUUAUACCCAACCACACUGCAGAAUGUUAAUGUAUACCCAACCAGACUAUAAAAUGAUAGUGUAUGCCCAUAUAAGGGAGACAAAGACACAAAAACUGUAUAAAAGGGUGCAACUACACCAUGUUCAGCACUCACCUUUUGGAUAUGAAUCCACCACUUCCUGAGAAAAACUGCCUCGGUAUCCUGUCUUUCUAUACUAAAAUCCCAUUGCAUUAGGGGAAAAUGAGGAUUGACUGUUGAUGGGUGUGGUUUCCUUUUGGAGUGAUACAAAUGUUCAAGAAUUGGGGAGUUUAGUGAUUGAUCCACAAUUGUAAAUAUCCUAACCACCAUUGAAUUGUGCACUUUAAAUUAGUGAAUUACAAGGUGUGUGAAGUGUAUCUCAAUAAAACUAUUAUUAAAAAUAAUAAUGGAAACAUCAGAAGCUCCAAGAACUGCCCCGCAUACCUCCAGACAGGCCCCAAAUUUAUCUUCCAGCAGAGGUAGCAGAGGCUGCUGAUGGAACUGCCUGGAUGAUUCCCGAAAAAGCCUGGAAGACUUCAGACCAGUGGCCAAAUGCACAUGAGUUCCCUGUGGUCCUUCCUUCCUUGAUCUUCUACCACAACAACAAUGUGUUUCCAUUUAAACUGAUGUAGAUAUGCACUUGUAACAAUGGUGAAUGGUCUCAUUUCUGAAUAUUAGCCUAAAAUGCAGACGAGGAGUGCUCCCAUGUCCUUAGCAUUAGGUAGAUCUUUGGUCAAACUACAGCAUUCUCUUUUACUACUUUCUCCCUUGGGCUCAAGAUGUGUUGUCUGAAAAGUGAGAGAUAGCAGUACAGUAAUACCUCAGCUUAGGAAUGCUCCUGUUCAUGAACAAUUUGGUUUGCAAACAGAAGCAUUUGGAACAACUUUGCUUCCAUUAUCGAACUUUGUAUCAAGUGACAAACAUGAUCGCAGCCAUCUUCCCUAGAUGAACACAAAUGUGACCAUCUUGCCCAGAAUCAUGGAACCAAUUAAGUGCAUGAACCAAGGUACCACUGUACCUCCUUCCCAGAGCUACUUGAAGAUUGAGUAAUGUCAUUAACAAGCUCUUAAAGCAACCUGGCUUCCACCUCUUAUAACACUUUGUCUCAUAAUCAUUCCAUCAACUCAGUGCUUGUCUAGUGGCUGUCAUCCCAAUGGAUUGUAAACUUCAAGAAAGCUUUAUUCAUGGCUGUGUUCCCUGGGACACAGACUAUUAAUAGACAGACUAUUUUGUGCAAUGUGGUGCCUGUGGCACAUGUUAUAUACUCAAUAAAUGUUAGCUCUUACUAGUAAUACCCAGCUCAAACAAUAAAAACAAGCAGUGUAGUCAAGGAAAGACUACCUGGUGAAACCUUUGACCUCAGAACCCUAUUGAAAGAAUGUGAACUCCACCAAGAGGAGCGAGUAUUGUGUUUUCUGUUGCAAAGAAGGACUCAGAGACUCAAAGUCUAUCACACCUACAGACCACCAAGAAAUGAGCUUCUUCCCCCAGACUCUCCCAGCCUGAGCCACAUCACUGCUCUUGAAAUUCAGCCUGAUCUGUGAGUCUGAAUGAAUGUGAGCUGCGUGGGUGGCACACAGUAUGAGCUCCAGCGAGAGGCCCUAGUUCUUUCCCAAGAAGGUGUGACUUUUGAUUUCCUUCAAGUACGAUCAAGGUGGGUGAAGCAGUGGUGUUGGAAGGCUGGUGAGCUGUGGGCUGGCUGAGUCAGUGUUGGACAAGCUCCCCUCGGGAAUUUCCCACAGGGAGGGGAGCAGGUGGCAAUUGUCAGCUGGGAAAUUAACCAGGUGUGACUUUGAGAUCCAUAGGUAGAUUACAGUCUGCCCACAGAAAAGCCUGGGCCUAAUUAAUGAUAUUACUCUGAGUGGAAGUGAGGCCUUAUGCUUGGAAUGAAGUCCUUCACCUUGGCCUUUGUCUCCAAGUGAUAUCCUUUUCUACCUCUCUAGCUCAUGGAGUUGUUACUAGAAUAAAUCAAUGAAAUUAUGUAUAUAUGAAAAAAAUCCUUAGAGACUAAUAACGAAAUAUCAUCUGAAAAAAAUGGUUGGGUUUUCAGAUGGUUUUUGUUUUUGUUUAUUUGUUUUGAAGUGCUAGGGAUAAAACCCAAGAGUUCAUGCAUGCUACGCAAGUCCUCUACCACUGAAAUACAUCCCCAGCCAAUACUGUGUUACUUUUACGAACAAAAAAGUUUUAAUAAAAAUAUAUUGAGACUUAUACUCCCAUAGGAAGAGCCAUGGGAGACAUACAUGAUCAGGGAUCACUGGUCAGGCUGGAAGAGACCCCAGAUGGGUAUAAGCUAAAUGACCCAGGCCCCAAACCCACAGCUAGAAGCCAGGCUCAGCCUGAAUUGAGGUGGAUUUGAAAGUCCCAGAAUUGGCACACCCACCCUAAUCCUACUGACUGCUAGUGAUUGCAGCCUUCGUGGAUGUGGGCUCUGACUGCUUUCUUUAUCUACCAAUGAAAGCAGGGACAGAUAUUGAAUUGGACACCAUCCCAAAAUUGUAGACCCC